This 459-nucleotide ribosomal RNA is filed under the name uncultured bacterium. Its description in RNAcentral is "partial 16S ribosomal RNA". It matches the Rfam family "Bacterial small subunit ribosomal RNA", at positions 339 to 795 of the family's 1533-position model. The record is from RNAcentral.
CUACGGGCGGCAGCAGUGAGGAAUAUUGGUCAAUGGACGCAAGUCUGAACCAGCCAUGCCGCGUGCAGGAUGACGGCCCUAUGGGUUGUAAACUGCUUUUAUUAAGGAAUAAACCCCAUUACGUGUAAUGGGCUGAACGUACUUAAAGAAUAAGCAUCGGCUAACUCCGUGCCAGCAGCCGCGGUAAUACGGAGGAUGCAAGCGUUAUCCGGAUUCAUUGGGUUUAAAGGGUUCGCAGGCGGCGUAUUAAGUCAGUGGUGAAAUCCCCCGGCUCAACCGGGGAACUGCCAUUGAUACUGGUAUGCUAGAGUAUAGUUGGCGUAGGCGGAAUAUUUCAUGUAGCGGUGAAAUGCUUAGAUAUGAAAUAGAACACCGAUCGCGAAGGCAGCUUACGAAACUAUAACUGACGCUCAGGAACGAAAGCGUGGGGAGCGAACAGGAUUAGAUACCCGAGUAGUC